CGGAAUGAGUACGAUUCGAACCACCUAACGAGGAACGAUCGGAGGGCAAGUCUGGUGCCAGCAGCCGCGGUAAUUCCAGCUCCAAUAGCGUACGUUAAAGUUGCUGCAGUUAAAAAGCUCGUAGUUGAACGUUCGGGUUCCGCGGGACGGGGCCGCCCCGCGAGGGACGGCGCCGCCCCGGGGCUCGUGAUAUCUCAUCUCGCCGCCCGUCGCGAGGCGGACGGAGGGAUGGAUGAGGUUACCUGGAAAAAAUCGGGGCGAUCUAGGCGGGCGAACCUCGCCAACGAACGAUCGGACAUGGGAUAACGGAAGAGGGCGUCGGCUCGACUUCGUCGGUUCCUCGGGCCGAGGCACGUACGGUGAAUAGGGACGGUCGGGGCCGCCCGUACCGGGUCGGUGAGAGGUGAAAUUCUUAGGAUCGACCCGAGACGAACCGCCGCGAAAGCAUUCGGCAAGGACGCUUUCAUUAAUACAAGAACGAAAGUCGGGGAGUCGAGACGAUCAGAUACCGUCGUAGUCCGACC
RNAcentral lists this ribosomal RNA (524 nucleotides) under uncultured eukaryote. RNAcentral's name for it is "bacterial SSU rRNA". It matches the Rfam family "Eukaryotic small subunit ribosomal RNA", at positions 510 to 1031 of the family's 1831-position model. The record is from RNAcentral.